CAGCUGUAAAGGAUUACUGGCUGUCGGCGCCAGUUCAAAAUGUUUCUGUUAAAAUAGUGUCCGAGAGGCGUCGGCCUUCAGAAGAAGCGGGCGAAGGAGCGUUACCUCAACGUGCACACCGGGUAACUGAUUCAAGUAUUUGCAACUAACACUCAUUGAAACCUGCCGCAGACACUGGAAUCAUAGGGAAGCACAGUUCUCUUUGGCAAAAUGAAAUGGAAUGGAAGGCCCCAAGAGAUGGAAAAAUAAAGUAAAUGAUGCGAUUAAUGUGAAAGAAGAUAACAUUCUCCAAAAGAACAGGAAUUCUGCAGAUGCUGGAAAUUCAAGCAACACACAUCAAAGUUGCUGGUGAACGCAGCAGCCCAGGCAGCAUCUAUAGGAAGAGGCGCAGUCGACGUUUCAGGCCGAGACCCUUCGUCAGGACUAACUGAAGGAAGAGGUUCUUUUGAAGGCCCUGACCUGGAGUUACACACUGACCUACGGUUCUUUGUGGGAAUGGGACCCGCUCUUGGGGUUUCACGACUGGCCGUUAUUCGACAUGCCAAUGAUGCAGCCAAAGAGCUUAGCUCGCCUUCGGAGGUCCAGAGUCUUGUGGCUCUGGAGACGGGCAGAUGGAAGGUCGGGGUCCCGGCAGGAAUCGGUGUGUCGUGGCAGUCGGAAGAUCUCUGGUUAUGUGCCCGGAGACCCAAGAUCUUUGGGCAAAGAGCUCGGAAAAAGCAACACAACGGACUUUUAGCAUCGUAAACCAGCGAGUUGUUUGUUAUGUCUCCCCUCCUGCUGUGAAAUAGAGACACCUCUUUCUCCCUUAUUAGGGAGAGAGAGAGCCUGUGGUAUGUCGAAUACUGGGUGAACGAGUAGUCUUUGGAGUACUGCAAGUCUGUGUCUUUGCUGUUGCUUUGCUCAGGCUUGAGUGCUUG
This is a long non-coding RNA of Mobula hypostoma (lesser devil ray), 917 nucleotides long. RefSeq lists it as uncharacterized. The record is from RefSeq and is a predicted model, not a curated record. The transcript has 5 exons. Lineage: Eukaryota; Metazoa; Chordata; Chondrichthyes; Myliobatiformes; Myliobatidae.